GUUGUUUGAAGCGUCUAUGAUGAACAGAGACCGAAUGAGAAGGAAGGGAAGUUGACGUCCCUGGGAUGUCGUCACUUCAUUAUUGCGUGCACAUGCGCGUUCAUGUGAGGCGAGACCUUUUUCAAAACGUGUUUCAAGACACAGGAGAGGUCGGGUUGAAAUAUUACUGAUGUUUCACGUUGAAAAUGGACCAAAAGAUUGAUGCUAAACAACGUUUGACAUGUUUGAACGAACGUAAAUAGAUUUUUUUUUAACUUUUCGUCGUGACUUUUCCCUCCCGCGCCCUACAUUUUGAGUAGCCCCGAAUGUGCUAACAACACGGAACAGCAUGGAGUUAUUUGGACAUAAAUUAUGAACUUCAUUGAAAAAAACAACAUUUGUUGUGGACCUGAGAUCCCUGGAAGUGCCUUCUGAUGAAGAUUAUUAAAAGCCAGGAGAGUGUCUAAACACUGGACUGAAAAUCAGCACAGACUUCACCAACCAGUGGUUCUGUAAUUCUGUCAUGAUAGAAUGUGCAGACUGAAGGUGAUUGUGAUGCGUUUAGGAUGAGUGUUUACACUUCCUCCAGGAGGCAGGAGUGCUCCAGGAUGCCGGUGGGCGGAGUUGGAAGGGUCGUCAGCUAAAUGGGAAACACCUGGGCUCGGCUGUGUCCCAGGAUAAAGGCACCUCUUCCACAGUCAUUGAGGAGACUCUCUCCACGCAGACACUUUGUUGAUUUUGGUUGUGUAGUUUUGUGGCUUUUUGGUUAUUUGCUUUGGCACUUUUCAACACCCUGCAUUAUUACAUUCAGGUAUGCAAAACACUCACACUACUGAUUACUGAUUACACAC
This 830-nucleotide long non-coding RNA is filed under the name Salmo salar (Atlantic salmon). RNAcentral describes it as "lncRNA (ENSSSAG00000108629.1)". Lineage: Eukaryota; Metazoa; Chordata; Actinopteri; Salmoniformes; Salmonidae. The record is from RNAcentral.